AUAGAUACAGAAUAGGGGUGAA
This 22-nucleotide microRNA is filed under the name Spodoptera frugiperda (fall armyworm). RNAcentral describes it as "sfr-miR-10481-5p". Lineage: Eukaryota; Metazoa; Arthropoda; Insecta; Lepidoptera; Noctuidae. The record is from miRBase by way of RNAcentral.